Microcebus murinus (gray mouse lemur) is the source of this 1380-nucleotide non-coding RNA. The record is from RefSeq and is a predicted model, not a curated record. NCBI's taxonomy places the organism in Eukaryota, Metazoa, Chordata, Mammalia, Primates, Cheirogaleidae.
CUCCCGUUAGUCCGCGGUCCGGUCAGGUCUUCUGCUACCGGCUCUCGUCUCCCAGCUUGCGACCGGCGGACGGGAGUCCUCUGCAGGGAGAGGCAAGACUGGGAGUCGUCGCCCGAGCGAGCCUUUCAUCUCAGAAGUUCAAGGUACUUUGUACAACCUCUGCCACCCAGGCCAUGCAUCCUGCAGGGCAUUUGUAAGCCAUGGCUGCCGUCAGGAAGAAACUGGUGAUUGUUGGUGAUGGAGCCUGUGGCAAGACGUGCUUGCUCAUAGUCUUCAGCAAGGACCAGUUCCCAGAGCAGUACGUGCCCACGGUGUUUGAGAACUACGUGGCAGUUAUCGAGGUGGAUGGGAAGCAGGUAGAACUGGCUUUGUGGGACACAGCUGGGCAGGAAGAUUAUGAGCGCCUCAGGCCCUUCUCCUACCCGGACACUGAUGUUAUACUGAUGUGCUUCUCCAUCAACAACCCUGAUAGUUUAAAAAACAUCCCAGAAAAGUGGACCCCAGAAGUCCAGCAUUUCUGCCCCAAUGUGCCCAUCAUCCUGGUCGGGAACAAGAUGGAUCUUCGGAAUGAUGCGCGCACAAGGCAGAAGCUAGCCAAGAUGAAGCAGGAGCCUGUAAAACCUGAAGAAGGCAGAGACAUGGCGAACAGCAUUGGCGCGUUUGGGUACAUGGAGUGUUCAGCAAAGACGAAAGAUGGAGUGAGGGAGGUUUUUGAGGUGGCCACGAGAGCUGCUCUGCUAACCAAACAUAAAGAGAAAAAACCUGGGUGCCAAGUCCUGUGAAACCUUGCUGCGAGCACAGCCCUUCUGCGGUUAAUUUUUAAGUGCUGUUUAUUAAUGUUAGUGUAUGACAACUAGCCUCUUUCAUUUAUCUAUAAUUUACCGAAGAUUACAAAUCAGAAGUCAUCCUGCUACUAGCAUUUAGAAGCCAACCAUGAUUAUUAAAAUGAUGUCCAACCUGCCUGGCCCACCAAGGUCCUUUCUGACACUGCUCUAACGCCCCUUUUCUGCACUCCCACCUGACACACCAGCUGCUAAUUCAAGAAAUUUCUUAAUAACUUCUUGCUUCUUUCUAGAAAGAGAAACAGUUGGUAACUUUUGUGAAUUAGGCCGUAACUACUUUAUAACUAACAUGCCCUGCCUAUCAUCUGUCAGCUGCAAGGUACUCUGCUGAGUCACCACAUCAGAGCUUUACUCCUUAACAGAUUUCAUUGACACAGCUCUGACCAUCCAGUUUUUUUUUUAAAUGUGCUCGCUAGAAAGGCCCAAGUCCAUGCAGCUGUGGCAGAGUUACAGUACUGUGGUUUCAUGUUAGUUGCCUUGUAGUUACUGUGUAAUUAGUGCCACUUAAUGUACAUUACCAAAAAUAAAUAUAUCUACC